Molecule: long non-coding RNA, 3651 nt
Organism: Marmota monax (woodchuck)
Lineage: Eukaryota; Metazoa; Chordata; Mammalia; Rodentia; Sciuridae
Exons: 2
Source: RefSeq, a predicted model, not a curated record
CGUCUGCGCAUGCUCAGGCGCGGUUGGUGGGGAGUCAUCUUUGCCAAGUUCACGUUUGGAGCUGAAUGCGGGACGUACUGGAGCCGAGCAAGCCUUUCGAGGCUGAGUGUGAGAAGUCUAUCUGUGUCCUAAGCUCUAGAAAGGGAGGCGUCCAUUAGACCUUAGUGUCCGUCUUGAGUGACGCGGCGCAUUUUUUAGUGUUGAGGUUGGUCCCGCCGCUAACUCAGGAGAUAUCCUGGAUUUUCGGGAAGCAACCGUUUUCAAAGAAAGGAAGAUAAGCCGGGAGCAAAGAUGUCUUAGCCACGCGAAUGACGGGCGAGGGAGCCCCUCUUGCAGAAGCUCUCAGUCCGGGUCCCAGUCGGCGUCCAGGAGUGGGAGGCGGCCCGGGGACCGAAGCGGGUCAGGGGCUCGACUGAUGGAGAAGGCGCCCCUGGUGGAGUUAGGUGCUGCUGGAGGUUUCACCCGCAGAGCCCGACGUGAUCCCUCAGCGCCCGUACCGAGAGGCGCCGCUGCUGUCCGGAAGGGAUCACCCGUCUCCGCGGCACCGAUCCCGGAGCAGGUCCUGCUCCUGGAGAAGGUCGUACUAUUAAAGAGCCUACGCGACGCGACCUUGGCCCGAUGGUAUACCGAGCGGAACCCGCCAGAUCGAGGGAGAGAUCCAGGAAAACAACAUUUGUCAUUAAAAGAGGCACACAGCGAUUGUGCGGUGGCACAUACAUGUAAUCGCAGUGGCUUUGGAGGCUGAAGCAGGAGGAUCGCAAGUUCAAAGCCAGCCUCAGCAAUUUUCCGGGACCCUAAGAAACUUAGUGAGACCCUAAAAUAAAACAUAUAAAGGACUAGGGAUGUGACUCCGUGGUUAAGUACCCCCUGGGUUCCAUCCCCGGUACAAAAGGGAAAGAAAAGGAGAAACAGGGUAGAGGGGUGGGGACCCAGUGUGUGGUUAGGCUAAAAUUGUUAUAUUGUUUCUUUUCUUUUCUUUCUUUCUUUUUUCUUUUUUUAAUGGUUGUGCUGAGGACGCAACUCAGCUAAACAUGAGCUGUACUACUGAGCUACCCCCCAGACCCUGCAGGCAGUACUUAAUGAAACUUUUUUAAUGUCUAUUAAUGACUAACAUUAGUUUACCAGCUCUUAGCUGCAUUUCUGUUUAUUUAUUUAUUAAUUUUUUUUUCAGUGCUGGGGAUCCAGGCCACAGCUUUGUACAUAGUGCGUAAGUGCUCUACCACUGAGCUACCUGCCUAUGAUUUAUAGCAUUUUUUUAAAGAGGAUACUGAGGAUUGAACCCAGGGGUGCUUUACCACUGAGCUACAUCCCUAGCCCUUUUUAUGUUUUAUUUGGAGACAGGUUCUCCCUAAAUUUCUUAGAGUCUUGCUAAUUUGCUGAGGCUAGCCUGGAACUUGUGAUACUCCUCAGCCUUCCCUGAGUUGCUGGAAUGACAGGUGUGUACCACCAUGCCCUGCUCUUAGAAGCAUUUUCAAAGCUUGACUAAAGCUACCUGGUGACUGUAGGAGGAAAGGCAUUGACUUACCUUUCUCUUUUAUUCUGUCUCUCUUUUUUUUUUUUUUUUUUACUUUUACAUCAUUAUCAUGUGAUUUAUAAACAUGAGUAAGCAUUUUAUAUUGCUGUUAUAACAAAAUGAUGCUUUGUCAUUCUUAGCUUUUGGGGGACAUGUAUGGAAUUAAUGAGUCUAUGUUUGUCUUUUGGAGACUGAAUGGAGCUGUUGGAAAUAGCAGAAAACAGUGCAGGGAAAACUUUAGAAAAAACCUACCUUGAUUUGCCAAGGAGUCUCAGAGCUAAAGAAAUAAGCUGUGGAGCAGGUGUACCAAGUAGUGAUGCCAAGAUGCAUUCUAGCUGGGGAUAUAGUUCAGUUGGUAGAGUGCUUGCCUUGCAUUCACAAGGCCCUGGGUUCAAUCCCCAGCACCAAAAAAAAAAAAAAAAGCAUUCUAUUCAAGCCUUUAGGGACUAUUGCCAGAAACACGUGAUUCACCAUUUUUAUUUGAUUUAUCUCAGAUAAAUAUAAAGAGUAAUGAAAUAUAAUUUGCUAAAGUUGGAAUAGCAAACCUGAAAAUAGCAAGCAGACUGUCACCCACAAAAAUGGGAGAGUAAGCGAUUAUUUUUUUAGUGAGCAGCCAGUCUGGAUUGUCUGGGAUUGUUAUUGAAAGUUCCACAUUUCAGGAAACCAUUCUUGGGUGCAAAAAGUUGUGGUUUUCAGCAGAGCAUGGAAAGUUGGGAGGAGUGAUAUAAAACCACAUGGUAGCCCAAAAAAUAGCCUGAAAUGGUAAAAAAUACUUUUUUUAGCGGUAAAUGAAUAUGGCAGUGGUCUGUCUUUUGCUGGAGGCUGAAUUGGCAUUUGUUACCUAGGUUUAUGGUAAUGGGUCCUCCAUUGAUGGAUUCCCUCAGAGAAACUUAAAUUAUGAAGCGUGUGCAGCUUAAGUUAUAUUUGGUGUUAUCCCUCCAGUUAACUGUUGUGCUUUUGCUCUUCUAAUUUUAACUUUGUGAUAGUAUCCUGAGUACACUGCCAGGGCCAGCAUGACCCAGACAUUACCAAAAGGUAAACAGCUACUUUAUUUUAAUGAUAGGUGAAAGACACAUAUAAUUGGCUUAGGGAGGUAAAUUAUUCAAACAGGUCAAGAAGACCAUUUGAAACUCUGUUUUUUUUUUUUUUUUUUCAAAUCGAAGUACCAAAGAGCUAGGGCAAACAGUUUUUAUUGCCUUGAUUCACCACAAUCACUUGAUAUGCUGUAGAGAGCAUGAUCAUGCAGGAGGUACAGAAAAGAAUUUGGGGAGGAGCUGGGCGUGGUGAUGCUUAUCUGUAUCCCAGCAAUUCAGGAGGCUGAGGCAGGAGAAUUUUGAGGUUGAGACUAGUCUGGGCAACUUAGUGAGACCCUGUCUCAAAAAUAAAAAGUAUUGGGGAUGUAGCUCAAUGGAGAGUGGCUGUGAGUUCAAUCCCCAAUACCUCUCCUCCCCCCGAGAAAUGUGGGUUUGGGCAUGAUGGAGAAGGGGAUAUAGAAGCACAUAUGGAGACUGAAUCUCCCAAGUCCAGGAUGAGACAUGAAAGUUCUUUUAAUCAGUGCAAAGGGUGUCCCCCAAAGACACCAAUGUUCAGUUGAAAACAGUAGCCACUGAAUUAGUUUGAGCAUACUACAUAAAUACUCAUCAUCCUAUCAUCCCCUUGAUUGCUUUAUAAAACUGAGUAAAGUUGCAUUUCCUGAUUCAGAAGUUGCAACUUAAAUGUCCUGUGGGCGAACAAAAGGGGAAAUUUUGAUAACAGGUGUGUUAGCACCUUGCAGUUCAGAGCUGAUUUGGUCAGAUCUUAUCUGUGAUCAUGCUCUCUACAGUAUAUCAAGUGGUGAAUUGUUAGUCUGUAAACAAGUCUGGAUGGCGCCUGGCAUAUUGCCAGAGGGAGUGGUUUGUGAAGUAAUGUCAGCGAGCUAUUAAGUGUGGAGAUUCCUUAUUGGUUGACUGAUGUAUCUAGUUUAUGCUAAUUAAGAUAAGCUGUGUGGAAUGUAUAAAUACCGCUCCUGUCCUACAAUAAACGGCUCCCACUCCUGCUGUAUCAACGUACACAAGUUGUUCGUCACCCCCCCGGUUAUUUUGCUGCAGCCGGACUGCGGCAGUGAAUCAUGGCAAUAAAAAACUGUUCGAGAGCUGGUA